AUUGUUUUUAACUACCAAGAAAUGACAGAAUUUUCAAAUACGCCAAAUUAACGAUGUUGGUCCGAACCAACGCCGCCAUUCACACAAAAAUGUUCCAGGAAGACAAGUAUGUUUCGUUUCGACUGCCACCGCCAUUGUGAAGAGUUGGGAACUGGAUAACAGGUUUGCAUUGUCGUCGCGGCAAUAAUGGAUAAUAUUUUCAUGUAUAUCGGGUGGUGCGACACGGGCUGAGUGCUAGCGUUGACUGUACCCGAAUUGGAAGUUUUACUCGCUCCAGGCCGAAUACAGAGCAUAGAUCCAAGGUCAUGGUCAGAAUCUUGAGAUAAUGAGAUCCAUUGGCUUUUAGUACACGUCAGUUUAUUCUGGAGGAGGAAGGAGGAUAAGAAAGUGGGAUUGCGGGAACAUUGUUUAGGGGAAUGGGUCAGAAUAUCUUCAUUUACGUUGAGUUGACAUUUCCUUCGAGUAUACAUUAGACCUUGGUAGUUACCCUUGAAUCGUUAUUGAUAUUGCUACACUGUACCAGUCUGCCAUUUUCCACAGGUCUUUAGAGAAGUUGUACACGACAGCCAUAAGAGGUGAGGGUGUCUAUUUAUACACCGAUAGAGGAGAUAAAAUCCUUGACGGUUGCUGCGCGCGGCAGUAUCAAGCAUCGGACAUGGAAAUAAAGAAGCAAUCGAGGCCGUGAUCGCACAAGCAAGGAAUCUGGCAUUUGCACACGCAUCCUUUUUCACGUCAGAUCAUGCCAAAGAGUUAUCAACAAGAGCAACGACGCAUUCUCAAAGGGUUACCUUUUUAUGCUCCGGUUCCGAAGCAGUUGAUUCAAUCUUGA
RNAcentral lists this small RNA (829 nucleotides) under Histoplasma capsulatum. RNAcentral's name for it is "hypothetical RNA". RNAcentral also lists the same sequence under 1 other name. Lineage: Eukaryota; Fungi; Ascomycota; Eurotiomycetes; Onygenales; Ajellomycetaceae. The record is from RNAcentral.